GUGGGGAAUCUUGCGCAAUGGGCGAAAGCCUGACGCAGCCAUGCCGCGUGAAUGAUGAAGGUCUUAGGAUUGUAAAAUUCUUUCACCGGGGACGAUAAUGACGGUACCCGGAGAAGAAGCUCCGGCUAACUUCGUGCCAGCAGCCGCGGUAAUACGAAGGGGGCUAGCGUUGCUCGGAAUUACUGGGCGGAAAGGGCGCGUAGGCGGACAGCUUAGUCAGAGGUGAAAGCCCAGGGCUCAACCUUGGAAUUGCCUUUGAUACUGGCUGUCUUGAGUUUGGGAGAGGUGAGUGGAACUCCGAGUGUAGAGGUGAAAUUCGUAGAUAUUCGGAAGAACACCAGUGGCGAAGGCGACUCACUGGCCCAAUACUGACGCUGAGGCGCGAAAGCGUGGGGAGCAAACAGGAUUAGAUACCCCGGUAGUCC
Molecule: ribosomal RNA, 425 nt
Filed under: uncultured bacterium
Lineage: Bacteria
Description: partial 16S ribosomal RNA
Rfam family: Bacterial small subunit ribosomal RNA
Source: RNAcentral